RNAcentral lists this ribosomal RNA (314 nucleotides) under uncultured bacterium. RNAcentral describes it as "partial 16S ribosomal RNA". It matches the Rfam family "Bacterial small subunit ribosomal RNA", at positions 499 to 807 of the family's 1533-position model. The record is from RNAcentral.
GUAUAAGAGACAGCAGUCGCCACGGGAAUACGUAGGGUGCAAGCGUUAAUCGGAAUUACUGGGCGUAAAGCGUGCGCAGGCGGUUAUAUAAGACAGAUGUGAAAUCCCCGGGCUCAACCUGGGAACUGCAUUUGUGACUGUAUAGCUAGAGUACGGCAGAGGGGGAUGGAAUUCCGCGUGUAGCAGUGAAAUGCGUAGAUAUGCGGAGGAACACCGAUGGCGAAGGCAAUCCCCUGGGCCUGUACUGACGCUCAUGCACGAAAGCGUGGGGAGCAAACAGGAUUAGAGACCCCCGUAGUCCCUGUCUCUUAUAC